AGGCUCCUACGGGACGCAGCAGUAGGGAAUUUUCGUCAAUGGGCGCAAGCCUGAACGAGCAAUGCCGCGUGAACGAGGAAGGUCUUCGGAUCGUAAAGUUCUGUUGAAGGGGAAAAAGAGCGGAGAGAGGAAAUGAACUCCGAUUGAUAUUACCCGUCGAGGAAGUCACGGCUAACUACGUGCCAGCAGCCGCGGUAAUACGUAGGUGGCGAGCGUUAUCCGGAAUGAUUGGGCGUAAAGGGCGCGUAGGCGGCCUGCUAAGUCUGGAGUGAAAGGUACCGGCUCAACCGGUACAGGCUCUGGAA
This 305-nucleotide ribosomal RNA is filed under the name uncultured bacterium. RNAcentral describes it as "bacterial SSU rRNA". It matches the Rfam family "Bacterial small subunit ribosomal RNA", at positions 333 to 631 of the family's 1533-position model. The record is from RNAcentral.